CAACGGAAUCCCAAAAGCAGCUGUUUUCCUCUUAAAGUUCCAGCUGCACUUGGAUUUCGUUCCU
RNAcentral lists this microRNA precursor (64 nucleotides) under Anolis carolinensis (green anole). RNAcentral describes it as "Aca-Mir-191_pre stem-loop". It matches the Rfam family "mir-191 microRNA precursor family", at positions 15 to 77 of the family's 91-position model. Lineage: Eukaryota; Metazoa; Chordata; Lepidosauria; Squamata; Anolidae. The record is from RNAcentral.